UCAUGUCGCGUGGCCACGCAUGGCACGUGUCAGCAUGUCAGCAUGCCUAGGUGUGUCGGCCGCCGUGGUGGUUGGCCCCCCCUUUGCCACCAUCGGAUGUCGCCCCUAGCCCCCCGCCGCCUCCAUCCGCCCUCAAAUCACUGGCCCUCGACGACCCCCCGGCCAUGUGCCAAGCGGUUGCUUUGAGUGUUGCCAUGGGUUGCGUGUUGCUGGAGGUGGUGGGUGUCCCUCGGAACGAUUGAUGCCACGAUGCCCAAUGGUGGUGCGACACCAUGGGGCAACAAGCUGACAAGUCCGGUCUCAAAGUGGCAUGCUAGGCCAUCGGUGUCGCCACCACCGUUGGCCAACAACGUGUUUUGGCUCGGAUGCUCUUCCAAAUAUUUUUGGGACUCAAAUAUCGAUUUUAAAAAAUAUUUUUAAAGAACUUUCUAUAUUUUUUGUAAUUAAAAAUAUUUUUAAAUAAUUAUUUUCGUAAUUAAAUUAAAAAAAAUAUUUUUCGUUAUCAAAAUUUUUUAAAAUUUUUUUCCUAAUGUUUGUUGAAUUAUUUCAUGGCUUUGUACAAAAAAUCAAGUCAAAAUAAUAAGUAUAUAUUUUUAAAACACCAAUUAUGACUCCUCAAAAUUUCCAAUGUUUCCUCCUGUCACUCAAAGGAUUGCUAAAAAUGCUAUUAUAGGGGGGGGCAGGUAGUCAGAAGGAUGGGGUGCCAAGGCCUACAGGCAAGCAGCACCCAUGCAGGCCAUGUGCAUGUCGCAUGGCCACGGAUGGCACGAUAGGUGCCUGUGCAUGGUCGAUUGUAUCACGAUGCUGCCGCAUAGCCACGCGAAGUGGAAUAGACGAUGUCGUGAUGCGUUGGGCCAUGCAUAGGCAUUUUCGAUCAUU
Long non-coding RNA from Diospyros lotus (date-plum), 879 nucleotides. RefSeq lists it as uncharacterized. The transcript has 2 exons. The record is from RefSeq and is a predicted model, not a curated record. Lineage: Eukaryota; Viridiplantae; Streptophyta; Magnoliopsida; Ericales; Ebenaceae.